GGUGAGACUCAGAGAGUGUCCCCAUCCUAUUUUUACUUUAAAAAAAAAAGGCACUUUAGCAUUUAAUAUUGAAAAAAGUGUCUUGUCUAUUGCCAAAGCAGAAGGAUUUUUUUUUUUAGUAGUAGUGUCAGCAAGAUUGUAGGCUAUAUGGAUGACUGGGCAACUGGUGAGCUCAUAUCACAUAUACUAUGGAUGUGAAACACCAUUAAUUUAGAGGAUGCUGGAGUCAAGUAAUUUUGUGAAAAUCUCAACUUUCAUCUUGCAAAAAGGAAGCUUCUAAGGCUGAUGGUUGCAAAGAAAUCCUUGAAAACAUGACCCAAGUCCACCUUAAAAGCUUACAAACCAGAUCACAAAUAAAAAGAACAGUUUUUUAAAAAUAACAAUCUCAUGAUUGUAAAGCAAAUCUCAUGAUUUUUUCAGCCUGUUGUGAUUCUUAAAUGCUAGUGGCUGGCAAAGCUGUAAACACCAACACCAGAUCCAAAAAUGUUUAACCCUUGGGG
This is a long non-coding RNA of Mauremys mutica (yellowpond turtle), 500 nucleotides long. RefSeq lists it as uncharacterized. The transcript has 3 exons. NCBI's taxonomy places the organism in Eukaryota, Metazoa, Chordata, Testudines, Geoemydidae. The record is from RefSeq and is a predicted model, not a curated record.